GACGAACGCUGGCGGCAGGCUUAACACAUGCAAGUCGAGCGCCCCGCAAGGGGAGCGGCAGACGGGUGAGUAACGCGUGGGAACGUGCCUUUUGGUUCGGAACAACUGAGGGAAACUUCAGCUAAAACCGGAUAAGCCCUUCGGGGGAAAGUUUACGCCAAAAGAUCGGCCCGCGUUAGAUUAGCUAGUUGGUGGGGUAAUGGCCUACCAAGGCGACGAUCUAUAGCUGUUUUGAGAGGAAGAUCAGCCACACUGGGACUGAGACACGGCCCAGACUCCUACGGGAGGCAGCAGUGGGGAAUAUUGGACAAUGGGCGCAAGCCUGAUCCAGCCAUGCCGCGUGGAUGAAGAAGGCCCUAGGGUUGUAAAGUCCUUUCGGUGGUGAAGAUAAUGACGGUA
RNAcentral lists this ribosomal RNA (399 nucleotides) under uncultured bacterium. RNAcentral's name for it is "bacterial SSU rRNA". It matches the Rfam family "Bacterial small subunit ribosomal RNA", at positions 28 to 477 of the family's 1533-position model. The record is from RNAcentral.